This is a long non-coding RNA of Esox lucius (northern pike), 2022 nucleotides long. NCBI's taxonomy places the organism in Eukaryota, Metazoa, Chordata, Actinopteri, Esociformes, Esocidae. The record is from Ensembl.
CAGCGAUAACAGGAGCGGUGGUCUGCUCAACAUUGGAACAACCCUGCUGCUGGAACUUUAUGACGAUUUUAAAGGUGUCAUCACCACGAAGGGCAAUACUGUCGCAAUUAACAAGGCGAGGGUGAUGGCUUGGCAAAAAAUGCUGACAGAUUAAAUGCGUAAAUUAUAGCCUAGGCCUACUUAUUGUUUAAUUUUUUAUCUUUAAUAAAUGAACGUACAGAUCACUAGAUAAGACUGGCUAGAUUAUCAUCAGGCUAGAUAAUAUCAGAUGUAUGAUCAGUCAACAUGUUGUUGUAGGUUAACUUACGUGAACUGAUUACAAGGCGUUUAGUGUUUAUUAGCCUAAUUCGGUGAGGCAUGAAGCCUUUCUGACCUAGUAACACUUGGCCUAUAUUCAUUCUCGGCGGUUACAUCUCAACAGGUGCCAACUCAAUAGCCAAAAAACAACUUCGAUAUUAGAUAUCAAGCAACUUCCAUCGCAGAUCAUCUGACAGCAUAGAGGGGGACCAAUGAUGUGAACCAAUUUGUUUGGAAGGGAUUUAAUUGAAAAUUGCAGCAUGACUAAGAAAAGUUGAUGCGAUGGUGUCUUUCAAAAUGUACAUUCCAGUCAGAAUUAUUUCAACUUUGCUCACAUUUCAGAAUAAUAUUUUUAACUUCAGGUCUGACAUUGCAUGAGAUUUCAAAUAUGGUUUUGCAUAGUUCUUCUGCAACUGCAUGUUAAUGCUAUGACAUACUUGGUUAGGAAAUGAAAUACUGUACCAGAUUGUUUUUAUCAUUGAUCAGUGCUGAAAAGGUAAAGGGAAACCUUAUCUCUGUAGAGUACAGUUACUUCUUUGUGUAAGGCUGAUGUGGAGGGUUAGAAAAUGGCCUCUAUUAAAAGGUAAUCCUAAUAUCAGACACCCCCCUUAUUUUUUGAACAUUGUGUACUAUUUUAACAAUUGUCUUACCAGUUACAAAACUGUAGUUACUCGACCUGACCAAUAGGUGCUGCUGUGGAGUUGCAUUAGGGAGGCAACGGUCCUGAAUUCGCGCAGAAAUAAAUAUGUGCUCAGACCAUUGUGACUAUCUCCUAACACGUGAAGGUUUAACUGUUAUUUCACUGUUCUUGGACCCACUUCAAAACUGUAUCUAACCUUGUUGGCCGCUAAACCAGGUAGAUGACUGAUGUGAAUCUGUGACUUGGAGAUGUCUUGAAUUAGACAUAAAUACGAACAAUGCAUUGUCAGCGCAGGACUUUGACCAACUUAAUCUUUGGUGUUCUCUUCGUAAAUGUUAUCAAACUUUCAUCCCCUCUACAAGUUUCUUCAGAAAUAGGUGAAUUAGAUUGCUUUGGUAAACGUAUAAACCCAAGAAUCAAAUGGAAAUGUGUUUGGACAAAUGGAAAACUCACUGUCAACAAAAUGUACAGAUACACACUGGUUAUAGAACAAAAAAAAUACUGCCAAAUAUAUCCAAACAUAUCAGGAACAUCGAUGGACCUUCGAAUCGUAAACGAACGUUACAACAUCACAGCUCGUUUGUUUGACGAGAGUUAUCCGCACAGCUGCAAAGAGACUGUUUUCAGAGGUUUUCCUCCAGAAUUGGUUCGAUGUGGCCCCCCAUUAAGUGUAGACUUUAAACGCCAUUCAAGACAGCUGGACAUCUUGCCAUCCUGGGGAAUGGAGAAGAGGUAUAUCCAGUCUUACACAGUGAGAUACAAAGAACUGAAGGGACCGUCGUGGGCAGAGCCAACAGUGUAUUCACAGGAUAUAAAUAAAUUAACUGUGAGAAAUCUUAGCUCUUCGAUGACAUAUGAGGUGCAGCUUCGGGUUCUGGAGAACCAAAGAUGCACCCAGGUGCCCUGGAGCAAGAGUUUCCUUGUCCAACCAGAACUUACAGAUGAGCCUGUCAUUAAGAUGGUUAAAGAUAUUUCAAAAAUGAAAGGGAAGAGAUUGGUGACCAUCAAAUGGAAGGUAAAUUAAUAACCUGACAAAACAUCUUAGGUCGUGGUAUCCUGUGUUGAACAUGGCCCCAAAAUAGCUG